Microplitis demolitor is the source of this 174-nucleotide long non-coding RNA. RefSeq lists it as uncharacterized. The record is from RefSeq and is a predicted model, not a curated record. The transcript has 6 exons. NCBI's taxonomy places the organism in Eukaryota, Metazoa, Arthropoda, Insecta, Hymenoptera, Braconidae.
GGUCAGAGUGGUAGCACCCAGGGUGGUGAUGCCACAGGUGGUGAUGCGUCUCAGUAGAAAUCUGAUAAACCAUCAAAUUAAUAACCGUGUCAUAGAUCCGAUCCUGUCACAUGGAAGAUCUAACACUACGGAGUAUCGACAGACCGCUGACGCCGAAAGGAAACGAAAUCCUGG